Long non-coding RNA from Monodelphis domestica (gray short-tailed opossum), 632 nucleotides. RefSeq lists it as uncharacterized. The record is from RefSeq and is a predicted model, not a curated record. Lineage: Eukaryota; Metazoa; Chordata; Mammalia; Didelphimorphia; Didelphidae.
GACCUCACAGUGAUACUUGGAUUCUCAGUGUCACCACAGCCUUCCUCAGGGCUUUAGAGCCAACUCUGGGGGUUUCAUGCUUCUGUAGCUCAGGGAAGGGAUUCCUCACAGUGGAAGGCAGCUGCUCUUCCUCCCAUUAAACAGAGGAAGACAUGCAAAUGGGGCUCCUCCCUCAGGCAUGAACCGAGCACAAAACCUGUGUGCUGCUCUGGGAGAGGAGCUUCUCCUUGUGUGGCUGAGGACUGACAGUGUAGAGCCUGAAUCAUGGGAUUUGGACUCAAUGGCAUUUUCAUUCUGAUGAUUUUGCAAGGUGUCCAUUGUGACGUUCAGCUGGUGGAGUCUGGGGGAGAUGUGAGACAGCCUGGAGGAUCCUUGAAACUCUUUUGCAAGGUUUCUGGAUUAGACUUCAGCAGCUACUACAUGAAUAGGGUUUCCCAGGCUCCAGGGAAGGGGCUGGAGUGUGUCUCAUACGUUAGAAGUGGUGGAAGUAGCACAAACUAAGCGGGACAUGUGACAGAAGGUCACAUGAGAGUUGAAUCAAGAUUCUAAGAUCCCAACUGUAAAACAGUCUUGGGGAGGAAACUUUUGGAAGAGAGGGGAGAUUUUCCAUCUUUCUGGCCCUUUGGAAGAUA